UUCCACGCCCUAAACUAUGCAGACUAGCUAUUGGGAGCAUCGACCCUUCCAGUGGCGUAGCUAACGCGUUAAGUCUGUCGCCUGGGAAGUACGGCCGCAAGGCUAAAACUCAAAGAAAUAGGCGGGAAUUCGCACAAGCGGUGGAUCAUGUGGUUCAAUUCUACACUGAGCGAAAAACCUCACCAGGGCUUGAAAUCCAGCUGCACGCUCUAGAAAUAGAGAAGCCUUCGAGGGUGCUGGACAGGUGCUGCACGGCUAUCGU
This 262-nucleotide ribosomal RNA is filed under the name uncultured bacterium. Its description in RNAcentral is "partial 16S ribosomal RNA". It matches the Rfam family "Bacterial small subunit ribosomal RNA", at positions 793 to 1055 of the family's 1533-position model. The record is from RNAcentral.